GGGUCGUUAGCUCAGUUGGUAGAGCGCUUCGUUUACACCGAAGAUGUCGGCGGUUCGAGCCCGUCACGACCCACCA
This 76-nucleotide transfer RNA is filed under the name Albidovulum aestuarii. Its description in RNAcentral is "tRNA-Val". It matches the Rfam family "tRNA". Rfam says of the family: Transfer RNA (tRNA) molecules are approximately 80 nucleotides in length. Their secondary structure includes four short double-helical elements and three loops (D, anti-codon, and T loops). The record is from RNAcentral. RNAcentral also lists the same sequence under 8 other names. Lineage: Bacteria; Pseudomonadati; Pseudomonadota; Alphaproteobacteria; Rhodobacterales; Paracoccaceae.